UACGUAGGGUGCAGGCGUUAAUCGGAAUUACUGGGCGUAAAGCGUGCGCAGGCGGUUUGCUAAGACAGGUGUGAAAUCCCCGGGCUUAACCUGGGAACUGCGCUUGUAACUGGCAAGCUAGAGUGUGGCAGAGGGGGGUGGAAUUCCAGGUGUAGCGGUGAAAUGCGUAGAUAUCAGGAGGAACACCUAUGGCGAAAGCGGCUCACUGGACCAUAACUGACGCUGAUGCACGAAAGCUAGGGGAUCAAACAGG
RNAcentral lists this ribosomal RNA (253 nucleotides) under uncultured bacterium. RNAcentral describes it as "partial 16S ribosomal RNA". It matches the Rfam family "Bacterial small subunit ribosomal RNA", at positions 524 to 776 of the family's 1533-position model. The record is from RNAcentral.